This 75-nucleotide small RNA is filed under the name Xanthomonas campestris. RNAcentral describes it as "sRNA sX9". It matches the Rfam family "Xanthomonas sRNA sX9". Lineage: Bacteria; Pseudomonadati; Pseudomonadota; Gammaproteobacteria; Lysobacterales; Lysobacteraceae. The record is from RNAcentral. RNAcentral also lists the same sequence under 1 other name.
AUGUACCCACGUACACUCCGGUUCCUCCGCGCCGUCCGCACCCACCUGACGUCUGCUCGCUACGUUUUGUUAGCC